This 402-nucleotide ribosomal RNA is filed under the name uncultured bacterium. RNAcentral's name for it is "bacterial SSU rRNA". It matches the Rfam family "Bacterial small subunit ribosomal RNA", at positions 355 to 774 of the family's 1533-position model. The record is from RNAcentral.
UGGGGAAUCUUGGACAAUGGGGGCAACCCUGAUCCAGCCAUGCCGCGUGGGUGAAGAAGGCCUUAGGGUUGUAAAGCCCUUUCAGCGGGGAAGAUGAUGACGGUACCCGCAGAAGAAGCCCCGGCUAACUCCGUGCCAGCAGCCGCGGUAAGACGGAGGGGGCUAGCGUUGUUCGGAAUUACUGGGCGUAAAGGGCGCGUAGGCGGACCGCCAAGUCAGGGGUGAAAGGCCAGGGCUCAACCUUGGAACGGCCCUUGAAACUGACGGUCUCGAGUCCGGGAGAGGAGAGCGGAAUUCCCAGUGUAGAGGUGAAAUUCGUAGAUAUUGGGAAGAACACCAGUGGCGAAGGCGGCUCUCUGGACCGGGACUGACGCUGAGGCGCGAAAGCGUGGGGAGCAAACA